GGCCUGGGGCCUCCGGGGCCUGAGCCCGGCCGGAGAACCUCAGAGACGCGGGAGCGGGGAGAGGCGCCUGCCUCUGUGCUGUCUCAGGCUCUGCUCUGCUCUGCCCUGCGGAUCACUUGUCUGUCUCUGCCACCACCAGGGAGUGAGUGCCAUGGAUUAUCUAUGAAGAAGGAACAGGUUCAGCUGUGACAUCAUUUCAUGCAAUGAAGUUGUAUGCAGCUAUGAAAAAGGAAGUCGCCUGGAUGGACAUCAUCUUCACAAUCUCCUGUUAACUCAAAAAGCAAGGUGCGGAACAGCAGACAGUGCAGCUGUAUUCAUUUGAGGCGAUUGAGGAAACCACAAAAUCAACUCCACAAGCUAAAGGCUCUGGACUCCUUCUUCCUGCUAAACUCAGGGAGCAGCUGCAGACGGGCCUGGGGUGAGAUCCCUGGCCCAGAGCCAAGAGCCAGGUUGAGUCUCUGCUGACCCCCAUAUGCCCUGUCAUCUUGGACUUUUUCUGGAUUAGGAAGUAGAAGCUGACCUGGCCAGUGCCUCCCCAGGUGGCUGUGAGAAAUGGUGGGUUGUCCUUAAGGGCAAGAAAGCUGAGGGGUGGGUCCAGG
This is a long non-coding RNA of Talpa occidentalis (Iberian mole), 599 nucleotides long. RefSeq lists it as uncharacterized. The transcript has 5 exons. The record is from RefSeq and is a predicted model, not a curated record. Lineage: Eukaryota; Metazoa; Chordata; Mammalia; Eulipotyphla; Talpidae.